AUCCAGCUGACCAGUCCCAAAUAGGACGAAAAGCGCAUCCUGGAU
This 45-nucleotide non-coding RNA is filed under the name Schistosoma mansoni. Lineage: Eukaryota; Metazoa; Platyhelminthes; Trematoda; Strigeidida; Schistosomatidae. The record is from RNAcentral.